RNAcentral lists this transfer RNA (85 nucleotides) under Chromobacterium violaceum. Its description in RNAcentral is "tRNA-Ser(gct)". The record is from RNAcentral. Lineage: Bacteria; Pseudomonadati; Pseudomonadota; Betaproteobacteria; Neisseriales; Chromobacteriaceae.
GGCGACGCCGGCCUGGUCGACGCCGCGCCGCUGCUGCCGGCGCUGAUAGAUCACCCGCUGCUGUUCGACGCCGAAGCGCCGGCGC